This 492-nucleotide ribosomal RNA is filed under the name uncultured bacterium. RNAcentral's name for it is "partial 16S ribosomal RNA". It matches the Rfam family "Bacterial small subunit ribosomal RNA", at positions 29 to 507 of the family's 1533-position model. The record is from RNAcentral.
AGUGAACGCUGGCGGUAGGCCUAACACAUGCAAGUCGAACGGCAGCACAGUAAGAGCUUGCUCUUACAGGGGGCGAGUGGCGGACGGGGGAGGAAUACAUCGGAAUCUACUUUUUCGAGCGGGAUGACGUGGGGAAACUUACGCUAAUACCGCAGACGACCUACGGGUGAAAGCAGGGGAUCUUCGGACCUUGCGUGAUUGAAUGAGCCGAUGUCGGAUUAGCUAGUUGGCGGGGUAAAGGCCCACCAAGGCGACGAUCCGUAGCUGGUCUGAGAGGAUGAUCAGCCACACUGGAACUGAGACACGGUCCAGACUCCUACGGGAGGCAGCAGUGGGGAAUAUUGGACAAUGGGCGCAAGCCUGAUCCAGCCAUGCCGCGUGUGUGAAGAAGGUCUUCGGGUUGUAAAGCCCUUUUGUUGGGAAAGAAAAGCAGCAGGUUAAUACCUCGCUGUUCUGACGUUACCCAAAGAAUAAGCACCGGCUAACUUCGUG